GGCUUUUCAGGAACGCAUGCGGUUUAUUAAUAAGUAUGCUGUGAGAGAUUCAGAGGAGCCCAUAGCUGAGACUGAGACUGCCAGUUUAACACCUAGUUCAGGAGAAAGAGAUUCUCUUACCACAGGAAAGAAAGCAUCACAAGCAGCUAUUGACUCAAGCUUACAAAUGCAGCAAAAAAAAUGGGAGCCUAUAGACCUUAGUCCUUACAUGAGAAAAACAAUGUCUGAGUCUGCACUAAGAAAAGAGCAAGAUAUAAGUAAAGCGGAAAAAAUCAACCAUUUUAGGGAACUUCGAGAGCUGGCUUUGGAACAAAGAGAAAAAGAACGAAAUGCCAGAGCUUUACUGAAGCAAAAUAUACU
RNAcentral lists this long non-coding RNA (360 nucleotides) under Aquila chrysaetos chrysaetos. Its description in RNAcentral is "lncRNA (ENSACCG00020005236.1)". Lineage: Eukaryota; Metazoa; Chordata; Aves; Accipitriformes; Accipitridae. The record is from RNAcentral.